UCCUGGUUAACCCAGGCAGUCUCACUAGAGUUCCCACCUUAAAUGUUGGCAACUAGUGAUAAGGGUUGCGCUCGUUGCGGGACUUAACCCAACACCUCACGGCACGAGCUGACGACAGCCAUGCAGCACCUGUGCAGAGGCUCCGAAGAGAAGUGACAUUUCUGCCACCGUCCUCUGCAUGUCAAGUCUGGGUAAGGUUCUUCGCGUUGCAUCGAAUUAAACCACAUGCUCCACUGCUUGUGCGGGUCCCCGUCAAUUCUUUUGAGUUUCACCCUUGCGAGUGUACUCCCCAGGCGGUAUACUUAUCGCGUUAGCUACGGCACAGUUAGGGUUGAGUCCAACUACACCAAGUAUACAUCGUUUACAGCAAGGACUAC
This 377-nucleotide unclassified non-coding RNA is filed under the name uncultured Parachlamydiaceae bacterium. RNAcentral's name for it is "contains 16S-23S intergenic spacer region". The record is from RNAcentral. Lineage: Bacteria; Pseudomonadati; Chlamydiota; Chlamydiia; Parachlamydiales; Parachlamydiaceae.